This 451-nucleotide ribosomal RNA is filed under the name uncultured bacterium. RNAcentral describes it as "partial 16S ribosomal RNA". It matches the Rfam family "Bacterial small subunit ribosomal RNA", at positions 29 to 523 of the family's 1533-position model. The record is from RNAcentral.
AGCGAACGCUGGCGGCAGGCCUAACACAUGCAAGUCGAGCGGCCGUAGCAAUACGGCAGCGGCAGACGGGAGAGUAACACGUGGGAACGCGCCCUUCGGUUCGGGAUAACCCAGGGAAACUUGGGCUAAUACCGGAUACGCCCUUACGGGGAAAGAUUUAUUGCCGAAGGAACGGCCCGCGUCCGAUUAGCUAGUUAGUGAGGUAAUGGCUCACCAAGGCGACGAUCGGUAGCUGGUCUGAGAGGAUGACCAGCCUCACUGGGACUGAGACACGGCCCAGACUCCUACGGGAGGCAGCAGUGGGGAAUAUUGGACAAUGGGCGCAAGCCUGAUCCGGCCAUGCCGCGUGGGUGAUGGAGGCCCUAGGGUUGUAAAGCCCUUUCAGCGGGGAAGAUAAUGACGGUACCCGCAGAAGAAGCCCCGGCUAACUUUGUGCCAGCCGCCGCGGUAA